Molecule: unclassified non-coding RNA, 261 nt
Filed under: Polyschema sclerotigenum
Lineage: Eukaryota; Fungi; Ascomycota; Dothideomycetes; Pleosporales; Latoruaceae
Description: partial internal transcribed spacer region
Rfam family: Eukaryotic small subunit ribosomal RNA (bases 1-46)
Source: RNAcentral
AAGUCGUAACAAGGUUUCCGUAGGUGAACCUGCGGAAGGAUCAUUACCAUGGCGCAGAAGGUGGUGGAACAUACUGGGUAACCCCAGGAGUUAAUCCCUUCACGCUCUUCUACCCUUGUCUAUUUGCACCUUUGUCGUUCCCUCGGCGGGGUAAAGCCCGCCGGCGGGAAGCUCGAAAAACCCUUUGCAAUCAGCAUCCAAAAACUCUGAUUACAAAACCUUAAAUCGUUACAACUUUCAACAAUGGAUCUCUUGGUUCUG